GACGAACGCUGGCGGCGGGCUUAACACAUGCAAGUCGAACGGAAAGGCCCUGCUUUUGUGGGGUGCUCGAGUGGCGAACGGGUGAGUAACACGUGAGUAACCUGCCCUUGACUUUGGGAUAACUUCAGGAAACUGGGGCUAAUACCGGAUAGGAGAUCCUGCUGCAUGGUGGGGGUUGGAAAGUUUCGGAGGUUGGGGAUGGACUCGCGGCUUAUCAGCUUGUUGGUGGGGUAGUGGCUUACCAAGGCUUUGGCGGCUAGCCGGCCUGGGAGGGUGACCGGCGACAUGGGGACUGAGAUACGGCCCAGACGCCUACGGGAGGCAGUAGGGGGGAAUAUUGUACAAUGGGCGGAAGCCUGAUGAAGCAACGCCGCGUGCGGGAUGACGGCCUUCGGGUUGUAAACCGCUUUCGCCUGUGACGAAGCGUGAGUGACGGUAAUGGGUAAAGAAGCACCGGCUAACUACGUG
This 468-nucleotide ribosomal RNA is filed under the name uncultured bacterium. RNAcentral describes it as "partial 16S ribosomal RNA". It matches the Rfam family "Bacterial small subunit ribosomal RNA", at positions 28 to 507 of the family's 1533-position model. The record is from RNAcentral.